This 730-nucleotide long non-coding RNA is filed under the name Citrus x clementina. Its description in RNAcentral is "Citrus clementina (C. clementina) long non-coding RNA (CCLE_LNC003975)". The record is from RNAcentral. Lineage: Eukaryota; Viridiplantae; Streptophyta; Magnoliopsida; Sapindales; Rutaceae.
UACUGCGGCAACUACCACGUUAGCACACCCCCCAAGAGCAAGCACAAUGAGUUUCAAUCAAUUCUCAAAUAUGUGAUUGGUUUAAUUUAAUAUUGGAUCCACACCAAAUACUAUGCAACAUCACAUACCAAACAUAUCCUAAAAGAAAUCGAUACAGAUUAUAGAAUACCCAAAAUUAUACAUAUAAUAAAUUCCGUAAGAAGUAUAGAAAAUUGUUUUCGUGUGUUUGAAACGAGUAGCACAUUAGUACAUUAAAACAUCCAUAAUUGAUUUAUUUAUAAGAGCGUAAACAACUAGUUAAAUUACAUUGAACUUACUAAUAUAAUAUCCUUGGAGAAAUAAGAUACUUCAUGAUCGAUAUCUCCAUCAACCGACAACGUGCAUGAGAAGUAGAUCUCCAACAACAAUUUCUUUGUAACUCUUUUACAUUAUCUGGGUUGUCUCUUUCAGUUGGUCCUUCGAUCUUCUGCGGUAUGAAAUUCUUCAAAUAUUAGUGGUAGAGACUUCAAUACGUAAAAAAUGUAAAAACUAACAACAACAAAAAAAAGAGAGUUGUUGAUUGGGCCAGUUUUUUUUACGAUGCCAAGGGGAGCAUAUGAAUAAUAUUCUCUCAUUAUGUUUUUUGUAUAUAGAUUUGAUUUACUGCAUGUCUGAGAUGACAUUGUUUCUUUGUAUAUAAAUUUGAUUUUUGGUAUGUCUAAGAUACUCGUUUAUCCAUAUAUUUUAAGUU